Molecule: long non-coding RNA, 787 nt
Filed under: Equus caballus (horse)
Lineage: Eukaryota; Metazoa; Chordata; Mammalia; Perissodactyla; Equidae
Description: lncRNA (ENSECAG00000049000.1)
Source: RNAcentral
GAGGAUCUGAAAUUUCAGAGAGGUUAAACAAUUUGCCUAGGAUCACACAGCAAAGAAGAUAAAACUCACAUACACAGGGUGAGCCCUUCUCACUGGAGGUUCUCUUGGUGCCCCCUCGUGCUCUCACACUGGAGGGAGCUUUAUCUUUCAGUGGCCAGAAAAAGACCUCUGAGGACCCACCAGUCCAGCCUUACCAGACACCUGGCAGAGAAAGUGAUUUCUGAAGCAGGAGGAAACCCAGGAAGAUUGCUCAGUUCCUGAGAGCACUGCUUCCCAGCUGGGGAUGACAGAUACACCAAGAAGACGGUCAUCUGAAAACCAGGAAGAGGGUCCUCACCACGAACCGAAUCAGCCGGCACCUUGAUUUUGGACUUCUCAGCCUUCAGAAUCGAAAGGCUCUUCCGGCAGACUGGAGUGGGGAAAUGUUAAGAGAGGAGAAGGGUUUCAGUGUUACUGUUGUCUCUGCUGGAGGGUGGAGAGUCGGAGGCCUCAGCACAUCUGCAGUGCCAUGGAUGUGACAUCAUGUAACUGUCUACCCACUGCCAUCAAGCGGUCUAGCUGCUCCUCCUGAGGAAGGGAGCAGCUCGGAGCAGCGGAAAGAAUGCAGUUUCGGAGUCAGGAUCACCCAUGGUGGACAGGUUUCACCUGAGCUUCCAGACGAAGAUAGACUAGGAAGAAGGACCUGGCCACCCACUUCUGAAAAAAUUGGCCACGAAAACCCUAUGAAUAGCAGCGGAACAUUGUCUGAUACAGCGCUGGAAGGUUUUAAAACUUCUGGAAAAUGAAC